This 462-nucleotide ribosomal RNA is filed under the name uncultured bacterium. RNAcentral describes it as "bacterial SSU rRNA". It matches the Rfam family "Bacterial small subunit ribosomal RNA", at positions 339 to 791 of the family's 1533-position model. The record is from RNAcentral.
GUACGGGAGGCAGCAGCUAAGAAUCUUCCGCAAUGGGGGAAACCCUGACGGAGCGACGCCGCGUGGGCGAUGAAGGCCGGAAGGUUGUAAAGCCCUUUUCUUGGCGAAGAAUAAGGCUGGAAGUGGACUGUCCAGCUGAUGACGUUAGCCGAGGAAUAAGCCCCGGCCAAUUACGUGCCAGCAGCCGCGGUAACACGUAUGGGGCGAGCGUUGUUCGGAGUUAUUGGGCGUAAAGGGCGUGUAGGCGGCUUUCGCAAGCUUGGUGUUAAAGGUUUCGGCCUAACCGGAACAGUGCGCUGAGAACUGCGGAGCUGGAGUCUAGGAGGGGGAGCUGGAAUUCCUGGUGUAGGGGUGAAAUCUGUAGAUAUCAGGAAGAACACCGGUGGCGAAGGCGAGCUCCUGGCCAUAGACUGACGCUGAGGCGCGAAAGCGUGGGGAGCAAACAGGAUUAGAUACCCUGGU